AUUAAUCAAUUAAUUAGUAUUUAAUGCAAAAUAGAGUAUGACAAAUCUAAAUGGAUUGGUUUUUUAAUUCACUAUGUUCUUUUAUAUAUGUAUUUGGCGCAAUAGGAACGAAAAGGUAUGGGAUGAUACUGAGAAGCCGAUUCCAAUCUUUGUUGCAAUGGCCAAAGAUCAAAUUCUCGAAUGACUUGUACAUUUUAUCUUGUUAGCAUCAAUGGAAGACUAUAAGAUGUAAUUGAGUUUGAUUUGUUGUUGACACGUUAAAAUCUUGUUAUCUUUUUAUCAAAAUUAUAAGAUUAGUUUCAUUAGGAGAUAAGGAAACCUUGUUGCUCAUAUACUUACUAGGGUGUCAAAGGUCUAAUGUUAGUUACCAAACUUUUUAUUUGAGUCCGACGUGGAUUACUCA
Molecule: long non-coding RNA, 403 nt
Filed under: Cicer arietinum (chickpea)
Lineage: Eukaryota; Viridiplantae; Streptophyta; Magnoliopsida; Fabales; Fabaceae
Description: long non-coding RNA (CARI_LNC000887)
Source: RNAcentral